UAACAAGACUUCCUGUGUAACUCUUACUA
RNAcentral lists this non-coding RNA (29 nucleotides) under Rattus norvegicus (Norway rat). The record is from RNAcentral. Lineage: Eukaryota; Metazoa; Chordata; Mammalia; Rodentia; Muridae.